GUUCGCCGCCGGCUUCCGCUCGCUGGUGCAGCCCGCCUACCGGCUGCAGGCGUACCAGCUGGGCCUGGUCGAGGCACUCCGGGAGUGCCGCCGGCGCCUGGGGCUGGAUCCGGUGGCCGGCUCCACUCACCAGGUCAUCAGCUGGGGCCAGUCGGCCAUCGACGACGGGCUCACGUUCGAAGAUGUCAGCAUACCGGCUGGCGUGCUGUCCCACCUGGCGGGUAUCGCGGCGAGCCAGCGUCGGGCCCGGGACGAGCCGGGCCCGGGGGAGCGGCCGGCGCCGGCCAGGAGUCACUCGCCGCCCCCCGAC
This is a long non-coding RNA of Pollicipes pollicipes, 310 nucleotides long. RefSeq lists it as uncharacterized. The record is from RefSeq and is a predicted model, not a curated record. NCBI's taxonomy places the organism in Eukaryota, Metazoa, Arthropoda, Thecostraca, Pollicipedomorpha, Pollicipedidae. The transcript is spliced from 3 exons.